UCAUUAGGUUUUGUUACUCUCUUUCUAUCUACCUCAAUCUUUUUCCUCUUUCUCCAACUCACGGGCGAUUUGAAAUCUGCGCCAGCUUCCAUCUUCAACCUCUCCAUCUUCUAUCUUCAACCUCUGCAUGGCUCGUCCGAUGGAAAAAAUUAAGGACAUCAACGAUUCUGAAUCACGGGUGAGGACUUUUUUCCAGAUCCGACCCUUUUAUGGGAUUAGGGUUUCAGGAGAUCUCGGACGCAAGUUCUUUUCCAAUAUGCAGAAUUUUGUAGAAAGUGGCGGUUUAAGUCGGUGAUGCAGCCUGUUAUAACAAGCUGAAGCUUUGAUUAAUGAUUUGAAGGAAAACGGAUUGUUCGAUAUUAAAGGAAACAAAGGGAGAGGGAGGUCAAAGGGAGCUGACUCUGAACAUGUCUGAACUGGCUCGGUUUCUACGGGAACCAGUUUGUUAUUCGUUUCGGUUGAGCUUUAUGCAGGGCUGCAGUUCUGUUCAUGUGAUGAUGGUUAAAUUGGCAUGCUGAUUUUAUGGAUUAUGCAGGGGUCAGAUUGAGUUUGUGAUGUUAACUGGCUUGGACAGUUAUGGGCUUUAUGUGUUAAGUGCUGCAAGCUUGAAUCUUUCCAGCAAAUUGAAGUGGA
Long non-coding RNA from Vicia villosa (hairy vetch), 633 nucleotides. RefSeq lists it as uncharacterized. The transcript has 6 exons. The record is from RefSeq and is a predicted model, not a curated record. Lineage: Eukaryota; Viridiplantae; Streptophyta; Magnoliopsida; Fabales; Fabaceae.